This 1341-nucleotide ribosomal RNA is filed under the name uncultured bacterium. RNAcentral's name for it is "16S ribosomal RNA". It matches the Rfam family "Bacterial small subunit ribosomal RNA", at positions 28 to 1381 of the family's 1533-position model. The record is from RNAcentral.
GACGAACGCUGGCGGCGUGCUUAACACAUGCAAGUCGAACGGUAAGGCUCCAGCUUGCUGGGGUACACGAGUGGCGAACGGGUGAGUAACACGUGGGUGACCUGCCCUGCACUUCGGGAUAAGCCUGGGAAACUGGGUCUAAUACCGGAUAGGACCGCACCGUGAGGGUGUGGUGGAAAGUUUUUUCGGUGUGGGAUGGGCCCGCGGCCUAUCAGCUUGUUGGUGGGGUAAUGGCCUACCAAGGCGGCGACGGGUAGCCGGCCUGAGAGGGUGGACGGCCACAUUGGGACUGAGACACGGCCCAGACUCCUACGGGAGGCAGCAGUGGGGAAUAUUGCACAAUGGGCGGAAGCCUGAUGCAGCGACGCCGCGUGGGGGAUGACGGCCUUCGGGUUGUAAACUCCUUUCACCAUCGACGAAGGGUUUCUGACGGUAGAUGGAGAAGUAGCACCGGCUAACUACGUGCCAGCAGCCGCGGUAAUACGUAGGGUGCGAGCGUUGUCCGGAAUUACUGGGCGUAAAGAGCUCGUAGGUGGUUUGUCGCGUCGUCUGUGAAAUUCCGGGGCUUAACUCCGGGCGUGCAGGCGAUACGGGCAUAACUUGAGUACUGUAGGGGAGACUGGAAUUCCUGGUGUAGCGGUGAAAUGCGCAGAUAUCAGGAGGAACACCGGUGGCGAAGGCGGGUCUCUGGGCAGUAACUGACGCUGAGGAGCGAAAGCAUGGGGAGCGAACAGGAUUAGAUACCCUGGUAGUCCAUGCCGUAAACGGUGGGCGCUAGGUGUGGGUUUCCUUCCACGGGAUCCGUGCCGUAGCUAACGCAUUAAGCGCCCCGCCUGGGGAGUACGGCCGCAAGGCUAAAACUCAAAGGAAUUGACGGGGGCCCGCACAAGCGGCGGAGCAUGUGGAUUAAUUCGAUGCAACGCGAAGAACCUUACCUGGGCUUGACAUAUACAGGAUCGCGCCAGAGAUGGUGUUUCCCUUGUGGCUUGUAUACAGGUGGUGCAUGGUUGUCGUCAGCUCGUGUCGUGAGAUGUUGGGUUAAGUCCCGCAACGAGCGCAACCCUUGUCUUAUGUUGCCAGCACGUUGUGGUGGGGACUCGUAAGAAACUGCCGGGGUUAACUCGGAGGAAGGUGGGGAUGACGUCAAAUCAUCAUGCCCCUUAUGUCCAGGGCUUCACACAUGCUACAAUGGUCGGUACAGUGGGUUGCCAGUCCGUGAGGGCGAGCUAAUCCCGCAAAGCCGGUCUCAGUUCGGAUCGGGGUCUGCAACUCGACCCCGUGAAGUCGGAGUCGCUAGUAAUCGCAGAUCAGCAACGCUGCGGUGAAUACGUUCCCGGGCCU